Octodon degus (degu) is the source of this 171-nucleotide small nuclear RNA. Its record names the gene U1. It matches the Rfam family "U1 spliceosomal RNA". Rfam says of the family: U1 is a small nuclear RNA (snRNA) component of the spliceosome (involved in pre-mRNA splicing). Its 5' end forms complementary base pairs with the 5' splice junction, thus defining the 5' donor site of an intron. NCBI's taxonomy places the organism in Eukaryota, Metazoa, Chordata, Mammalia, Rodentia, Octodontidae. The record is from Ensembl.
AUACUUACCUGGCAGGGGAGAUAGCAUGAUUAUGAAGGUGGUUUUCCCAGGGUGAGGCUUAUCCAUUGCUUCUUUUUUAUGUCUAAUGAGAGCAACAUAAGGGAGAGGGGACCAGCCUGAGGGAUGGAUGCACACAGUGCUUGGGAAAAAACAGCCCUCUCCUUAUUCUUC